CUAUUUAUCAAAAUGAUGUUUUUUAAAAAACUAUUUACUAAAAUAUUGUUCCUUGUUUAUUUUGUAUUUGUCUUUCUUUUUGGGUAAAUUACAUUUUUCGUCCUUUAUGUUUAUAUCGGUUUGCAAUGGAUGCCCUUUAAGUUCAACAAUUACAUUCACAGUCCUUUUUCCAUAAAACUCAUUACACCCUACGUCCUUUGAUCCUAGGUUGGUUAAAAAAUUUAGUUUAGUAUGGCACGUGCUUUGCACAUGAGUGCGUUUACGUCUUUUUACUCCAAUCAAUUUAAAUUAAAAAAAUUAAUAUACAUCUCCAGUCCUUUGUUUUUAACCCAUCUUCAUUCUUGAGACCCUAGACCAACAAAUCAGUUGAUCAUGUUUUCUAAAUGUGUUCUUGCAGUAAUAGAUCCUUCCACUAUUUACCACAUAUAACCAAAAAUAAUAAUUUUUUAUACAAAGUUAAAAAGAAAAGAAAAGAACGAGUGUGUUGCAAAAAAAUCUUGUACAUAAACCUAUAUAUCUACUAUUCACGAGUGCAGUGCUUCUGCAGUUAUGUUUAAGGUCUAGGAUGCGUGUUCAACUUUUAACCCCGUCCUCUUUCUCAACGGAUCUGCGAUUUCAAUGAUCUGAUUCAAACGCGAGAUUUGAUUCAAAUGAAGGCGUUCUUAUGGUUAUCGGUGAGGUGGAGCUUGGUAGCUGUCGGAUAUGAGGAACUGGUAAGAGUCACUUGAGGUGGUGGUACCAUGGUGGUUUUAAGCGGUGGUGGAGAUGGGAAGAUGGUGGUGGUGGUUCAUUGAAAUAUAGAUGGGAGAGACAAAACUGAGAUAGAGAGAUAGAGGAGGAAAGAGAACUAAGGAAACAAGUCUUGAGCCGAUGAUACACUACGGGGAACGGGAAAGUCUAUGAUAACGAUAGCCGCUUUUGGAGGGUUUGUCUUUUAUAUCCCAACUUUGUAUGGGUAUAUAGGGGACAAAACCUCACUAUGUUUUAUGUCAAAAACUAUCUUUUGUGUUGCUUAAUAUAACAAUGUUUUGGUUAAUGUUUGUAAACGUUAUGGAAACUAGAAAACUAUGUUGGAAACUUGAAAACUUUGUUUGAAAACAAUAUAUCUAUGGCAUCGUUGUGGUUUAUUACGUUUACUCAUUUGGAUGCAAUGAUUACCUUUCUUACAUCACACACAAUACGCUUCCGCUACUAGCAGGGUGUGACAAAUUGGUAUCAGAGCUCCGAUUGUAGUGAACCGGGGAAAAACUUUUAUAAAGUUUGGUCUACAAUCACCAAGGGCUCACAUGAAAACAAAGUUGAUAACAUUGCAGAAAUGAUUUCAAAAAUAUCACAAAAACGACAAAAGGUUUUCAUUGUGUCACGAUAACAUGAGGAUCUAUCACGCGAGCUCAAUCAUAAGUAACAUGAGAAACAAAAACAACAUGAGAUUUAGUGAUUAUAUAUAUAAUGUAUUAUUAUAUAUGUUGUACAGAAUAUUUUGCCCCGACGAAAGUACGUUCGACUACGAAUUCUAUUAUGACACUUGACUCACUCGAUGAGAAUAAUGACCUCACGUCUAUUACGAAGCUUAUGGUGGAUGUGGUUCCUGAGUGAGACCCUAAAGCAUUGAUCCCGUGGAAGAUGUUUGUUUUCCCUCGGAUGGGUAUAAGUCUGGCUUUGGUAGUGACGACGAGGCGGAGGUGGCGACCUUGGACAACAACUCUACUAGUAGGACGAGGUCCCUGAGGCUCAUACUAAUCAUGACUGAUAACACUCUCGUCCAGAAAAGGAAGAUGAAGUACUCAUCUUAAAAGUGCCCCUCCAGUUGCUAUUGUUGUGGAUUCUCUAUAUCUCUAUUUCUUCUAACGUUGUCCUUUUCAUGAGUAAUGACAACGGGCGUUAACAAGUGGACCAUCACGAAAGUCCCUCCUAUGUUGAAGGUAUAUAGACAAUAGUGUCCUCUCUUUGACUGAUCGUCUUCUUUGAACGAGAGAAUGCCAGAGUGUCCAUGCAAGACAAUUUAUUAUUACGGGGGCCCAUAUAAUAACAACUUGUAGUGUAUGGAAAUCCUGGUGGGCUCUGCGGGUCAAGCUAACGAUCACUAUCAAUACAAAAUUCCUAAAUUGUUCAAGUUUCUAUCUAGUAGAACACUAACCGGGAUGGUUACUAUAACACUCUACGAUGCAGGAAGACCACACGUAUUAUUCGCACCUAACAUUCGACCUAUAACAUGAGUCGUUUGAGACUAGUCAUCGAAUGCAAACAAAACUUGUUGGCCACUCAUGGAGAAUUUUUCUCAACAUUCUCGGAAUUCUUGUACAUGGGCUGGUUCUUUGGUGUCUAUGACACCUUACCUUAUCUUAGUCAUUGGAAAUGAUUACAUUUAACUCUGCCGUUUGACAUUUGUCUUAUUCCAAGGGAUGAUAUGGCAUGAGCCAUACUACAACUCCUUCAUUGCGUUAUUCGACAUCUAUGGAAAUUAUAACAAUUUUGUUGAAGCUCGUGGAGCUCAAGGGAUAACAACGUAUUCGUCACACGGGUUAGUGCGGCGAAGGAUUUUCCUACUUUGGACGGUCGAGGUCCAUGAGGGAGGGAAUACAUACUAUAAGGAUGGAGACGACCAUUUGGUUUCUCCUCCUCAACGAAUUACCCCUUUUCCCACUUAGACAUAUGACCAUUACACGCAAGAGGUACUACGCAUUUUGGGUUGCGGUUAUUCAUGUUAUCAUCACUCAAACAUGCAUGAACAAUGCGGUCUUGAGAUUUCCAUGACCAGUUACAUUCUUAAUUCUUAGGCGCAUGGUAGGUUAUAAUUGUCCAAAUACAAGUCUAGACCCUUCGAUACGAUGUAUCAAAAAUAACAUGGCGCCGAAAAGAAAAUCUACGCUAAAAAGGGUCAGUUAAUCAGCACACUACUAUUAAAGUCGAACUUGAGUUUUUAUGGAACAAUAUGAGGUUACGGAGAUUGCACAACAUGGGGUUGUUGAGUCGACACUAAUGAUGGUACUGAUGUUACCGGCAGCUCAAGUGGUUCAAAUUCCGAUGGGACGAGAACGAGUGGCAGUGCCAUACUUGGAGAUGCAAUCACACCGGAUUUUAAUUCUAAGGCAUCUCCGGAUUACAAGCCACGAGACCUCAUCAAUACGAGAGGUGCGGUAAGUUAUGUCCGCUAAAUAAAGAUAAUGAAGUCAGUUAACCGUGCUAGUAAAUGUACUCCUAAGUAAACGAUUUGGUAAACGAAUAGUCAUCUGUUGAGGGAGACGAUAACUUGGUGCAAUCUCCAAGUGCAAACUAUAGGGAGUAAUACAACAAAGAGGUUAUUGUGGGAAGAACUCAAGGAUCUUACGUGAGAAUAGUAUUGCUCGCUAGUGGUAAAUUCCAAGGUUGGGAACCGAACUCUAGAACUCGAUUAUGAUUAGAGCGAACGUAGCUGGUUACCCCUGACGCCUCUACGAUCUCUAAAAGAUUGUUGCAUACUAGAUAACACACGAAUCCAAACGCACGAAGCGCUAUAUUGGGGUUUAGCCUGAGAUACGAAUCUGACAUCAAGAAGCAUGCUAGUAACUUGCCAAAAUCCUAAAAGAGACAAGUGAAACCUUCAUCAUGAGGGCACUUGCAAAAGCACCAAGAGUAACAGUGUGGUGAGACUGGGCAUAAAACGGAAACUAAUGAGUUAGUUAUAUUCAAGAAUGAACGAGGAGGUUUUAAUUGUGGCAAAGAGAUCACUACAAGCAUGGAUGUUUAUUGAAGAAUCAAGCAAGUGAAUAAGUAAGUGUAUGGGUAGAACUAUGAAUACUCCCCAAAAAUCCCAAUGUUGCCAUGGGUACAUUCUACUCUGCAACCAGUGUGUAUCAAUUCCUUGAAUACCAACGUCGGCUUAGCUUAGUGCCUUUAGAUAAUAAGCAUAUAUAUACGAGUUAGAGUCAUGUAGGUUAUACAUGUUUCACUCUAGCAAGUUAGCUAAAGGGGAAUUAGCGGAGUCAUGUAAGAUCAUUAAGGCUCGUCGAUACGUUUCCUACCAACCGACCCGUUGCAUCCAUUUUGGUUAAUACCGGUGUCAGUAUUAGUUUCAUCCCCCUAGAAUUCGAAAUAUACUUGUCCAAGAGUCAAGUAAGCUAGACGUCCCCCACAUUCCAUAGAACAGGCCAAUGGUGAAUUAGAUGAGUCAGGAGAAGAUAUUAAAGGAUGCACACACGAACUUAGAGAACAAAUAUGUAACAUAGACCAUCCAUUCAAUUGGGUUGUUACGACGUAGUUUUUGACAUAGACUAGUUAUCUGAUAAUCGAGCCAAAGUCAUAUGUCACGAGAAGAUCAUUCGCAUCCCCCUGUCUGACGAGAGAACAUCUUUUAGUGCAUGGGGAGAAUCAAGACAUGCCCCUACGAAUUAUUAAUUGCAUCAAGGCUCGAAAGUGUCUGAGAAAAUGAUGCAUCACCUUUCUUGCCCAUGUGGUUGAAAAGAAAGCCGAGGAGCGUAAGGUGGAGGACAUACCUGUGGUAAGGGAAUAUCCCGAAGUUUUUCCAGAAGACUUGCCGGGGCUGCCUCCACAAUGACAAGUGGAAGUCCGUAACGAUCUAGUGCCAGGAGCUGCACCGGUGGCGGAAGCUCCAAAUCGACUGGCGCCCUCGGAGAUGCAGGAAUUAUCCACUCAGCUUGAGGAAUUACUUGACAAAGGAUUCAUUAGACCGAGUUCCUCACCUUGGGGAGCUCUGGUGCUAUUUGUCAAGAAGAAGGACGGAACCUUGCGGAUGUGCAUUGACUAUAGAGAACUAAACAAGUUAACUCUCAAGAAUCGGUAUUCUUUACUGAGGAUCGACGACUUGUUCGAUCAAUUACAAAGUUCCAGCUCGUAUUCCAAGAUUGAUCUAAGACCCGGAUAUCAUUAGCUGAGAAUUCAAGAGCAAAGCAUUCCUAAGUAAGCGUUUAGGAGUCGCUAUGGGCAUUACUAGUUCCUUAUUAUGCCUUUCGGCUUGAGAAACGCUCCGGCCGUGUUCAUGGGUUUAAUGAACCGGGUAUGUAAGCCAUAUCUCGACAAGUUCGUAAUCGUAUUCAUUGAUGACAUUUUGAUAUACUCACAGACAGAGGCGGAACACGAAUAACACCUGAGAACUAUUCUAGAGUUGCUUAAGAAAGAACAAUUGUAUGCCAAGUUCUCAAAAUGCGAAUUUUGGAUUCGCGAGGUGCAAUUCCUCGGUCAUGUGGUGAAUGAGAACAUAAUACAUGUUGACCCAGCUAAGAUAGAAUCCAAUAGGAACUGGAACGCUCCAAAGACCCCAACGGAAGUAAGACAAUUUCUGGGAUUAGCAGGAUACUAUCGAAGAUUCACUGAGAAUUUUUCAAAAAAUUUCUCAACCGCUAACCUCGCUCACUAAAAAGGAUAAAAAGUUCGAUUGGGUGAAAAGUAAGAAACGGCUUCUCAGUUGCUUAAAGAUAAACUAUGUCAAGCGCUAAUCUUAUCACUCCCAGACGGUACCGAUGACUUUGUGGUGUAUUGUGAUGCAUCGCAUCAAGACUUGGGUUGCGUGUUAAUGCAACAUGAAAAAGUCAUUGCGUAUGCGUCACGGCAGUUAAAAGUUCACGAAAAGAACUAUAUCACUCAUGACCUAGAGCAGGGCGGUGGUAUUUGCUUUAAAGAUUUGGCAUCAUUAUCUCUAUGGUACAAAGUGCACCAUAUUCACCGAUCAUAAAAGUCUUCAAUACAUAUUCGAUCAAAAGGAACUAAACAUGCGCCAAAGAUGAUGGGUAUAAUUGUUGAACGACUAUCAUCGUGAAAUCAAGUACCAUCCGGGCAAAGCAAACAUUGUAGUGGAUGCUUUGAGCCGGAAGGAACGAGUCAAAACAUUUCGGGUAUGAGCUUUGGAGUUGACAAUUCAAACGAAUUUCACCACUCGAGUGCACGAUGUACAACAGGAAGCUCUAAAGCCGGAAAACAUUAAGCAGAAUCCUUGCGAGGAUUAGAAAAAUAAAGGGAAGCGAGCAAAUAUGACAUUUUAUAUUUCAUGUGAAGGAUCUGGAUUGCAUAUUUAGACGGUCUAUGAGACUUGGUGAUGGAUAAAACACCCAAGCCAAAAUAUUCAAUACAUCCAGGAUCCAGAUAAAAUGUAUCAAGACUUAAAAGAAUACCAUUGGUGGCCUAAUAUCAAGGGAGAUAUUGCAAACUAUGCUGGGAAAUGCCUAACUUGUGCAAAGGUCAAGGCCGAAUACCAAAAGCCGUAUGGCUUAUUACAGUAACUCGAGAUUCCCAUUUGGAAAUGGGAACAAAUAUCACUGAAUUUCAUCAUAAAACUACCACAGACCUCUCGAGGUCAUGACAUGAUUUGGGUUAUCAUUGGUCGAUUAACCAAGUUAGCUCACUUCUUACCGAUUCGCGAGAAAGACAGUACCAAGGAGUUAGCUGAACUCUACCUUAGAAAGAUUGUGGCACGUCAUGGAGUGUAUGUUUCAAUAAUCUCUGAACGAGAUGGUCGCUUUAUGUCAAGGAAUUGACAAUCAAUUCAAGCAUCAUUUAGAUCUCAUUUAGAUCUAAGCACAACAUUUCAUCCUUAAACCGAUGGACAAAGUGAACGAACCAUCCAAACGUUGGAGGACAUGCUUCGUGCCUAUGUGAUGGAUUUGGGCGGAAACUAGGAUACUCAUUUACCUUUGGUAGAGUUCUCAUAUAAUGACAGUUAUCACACAAGCAUUAAAGCCGCCCCCAUUCGAAGGACUAUUCGGACGAAAGUGCCGAUCACCGCUGUGUUGGGCAGAAGUCGGAGACAAACAACUCAUUGGCCCUGAACUAGUCCAAGAGACUACUGAUAAGAUAUCGAAGAUAUGAGACCGUAUCAAAGUGGCUCGUGACAGACAAAAGAGCUACGCGGACAGAAGACCUAAACUAUUAUCCUUCAAGGGCGGAGACAAAGUCUUAUUGAAAAUCUCGCCUUGGAAAGGUGUAGCUAGACUCGGAAACGCGGAAAACUAAAACCGAAAUACAUUGGGCCUUUUCAAAUUCUAGCAAUGGCUGGUACGGUUGCUUAAAAACUAAAGUUGCCAGAAGAACUCUAUGCCAUACACAACACAUUUUAUGUGUCGGACCUCAAUAAAAAGUCCAACCAACGAAACCGUUAUCAUCCCAGUGAAUGAAAUUCACGUAGACGACGAACUCCAGUUUACCAGAGAACCUGUUGAGGUUAUGGACUGCAAAGUCCACACGACAAGGAGAAGUCGUAUUAAACUAGUAAAGAUCCGCUGGAACUACGUCACGGAACCAAGUAUACAUGGGAACGUGAAGAUCAAAUCAAGACAAAGUAUACCCACCUGUUUGAAAAGACUCCUGCAAAGGAUAACUCAACGUGAAUUUCGGGACACAAUUCUUUUUAACACGGGGGAAUGUGACAAAUGGCAAAUAACCGGUGAUUCCGUACAAACUAAUCACUAUUUUAUGUACAUAAUCUCAUGCAUUUAGCUUAAUUUAAUUAUGUGACUGUGUCGUAAAACAAAUAACAGUGUUAGGACAAGAAAACAAUGCUAAAACAUAUGUUGGUUUUUGUCGUAUUGCGAAACCAAUCAAAAAAUGUCCUAAAAGUGUUGGUAGAAAGUGUUGCACACACUAUUCACGGUCACACUAUUCAUGCCAGCAAAACCGUGAAAACAGAACAAAACAAUGAAAAACGACACAUGGAUAACAUAACCGAGUCCAUUUACAUAAGAAAACACUAAUGAGAAAACAUAUCUUGCAAAAAUCUAGGACUUUCCGGUACAACGCCCUAAAUACUAAAACGUCCGUUUCGCUAAAAGUAUGACAUUUUUAACUCGUCCGAAACUAUAAUUAAUCAUUUCUGGAACUUCGGAAUGAUGAUAAUUGAUGACAUAUAUGCUAAAACACUUUGGAAAUAUCAUUGUAGUGUCCAAAAUAACAAGCUUCCGGUACUAUUGAUGUAAAAUACAUCGGUAUUCGCGUCGGUUUUAGUAGUUAGUUAGUUAGUUUUAGUGUCGGUUUAGUUUAGAAUGUAUAUACUUUUGAUCUAUUUAUGU
This is a long non-coding RNA of Helianthus annuus (common sunflower), 7994 nucleotides long. RefSeq lists it as uncharacterized. NCBI's taxonomy places the organism in Eukaryota, Viridiplantae, Streptophyta, Magnoliopsida, Asterales, Asteraceae. The transcript is spliced from 3 exons. The record is from RefSeq and is a predicted model, not a curated record.